RNAcentral lists this ribosomal RNA (468 nucleotides) under uncultured bacterium. Its description in RNAcentral is "partial 16S ribosomal RNA". It matches the Rfam family "Bacterial small subunit ribosomal RNA", at positions 28 to 507 of the family's 1533-position model. The record is from RNAcentral.
GACGAACGCUGGCGGCGUGCUUAACACAUGCAAGUCGAACGGAAAGGCCCUGCUUUUGUGGGGUGCUCGAGUGGCGAACGGGUGAGUAACACGUGAGUAACCUGCCCUUGACUUUGGGAUAACUUCAGGAAACUGGGGAUAAUACCGGAUAGGAGCUCCUGCUGCAUGGUGGGGGCUGGAAAGUUUCGGCGGUUGGGGAUGGACUCGCGGCUUAUCAGCUUGUUGGUGGGGUAGUGGCUCACCAAGGCUUUGACGGGUAGCCGGCCUGAGAGGGUGACCGGCCACAUUGGGACUGAGAUACGGCCCAGACUCCUACGGGAGGCAGCAGGGGGGAAUAUUGCACAAUGGGCGGAAGCCUGAUGCAGCAACGCCGCGUGCGGGAUGACGGCCUUCGGGUUGUAAACCGCUUUCGCCUGUGACGAAGCGUGAGUGACGGUAAUGGGUAAAGAAGCACCGGCUAACUACGUG